RNAcentral lists this ribosomal RNA (484 nucleotides) under uncultured bacterium. Its description in RNAcentral is "partial 16S ribosomal RNA". It matches the Rfam family "Bacterial small subunit ribosomal RNA", at positions 29 to 507 of the family's 1533-position model. The record is from RNAcentral.
AUUGAACGCUGGCGGCAUGCUUUACACAUGCAAGUCGAACGGCAGCGCGGGCUUCGGCCUGGCGGCGAGUGGCGAACGGGUGAGUAAUACAUCGGAACGUGCCCAGUAGUGGGGGAUAGCUCGGCGAAAGCCGGAUUAAUACCGCAUACGACCUGAGGGUGAAAGAGGGGGAUCUUCGGACCUCGCGCUAUUGGAGCGGCCGAUGGCAGAUUAGCUAGUUGGUGGGGGAAAGGCCUACCAAGGCGACGAUCUGUAGCUGGUCUGAGAGGACGACCAGCCACACUGGGACUGAGACACGGCCCAGACUCCUACGGGAGGCAGCAGUGGGGAAUUUUGGACAAUGGGCGAAAGCCUGAUCCAGCAAUGCCGCGUGUGUGAUGAAGGCCUUCUGGUUGUAAAGCACUUUUGGCGGGAACGAAAAGGACUGUGCCAAUACCACGGUUCGAUGACGGUACCCGCAGAAUAAGCACCGGCUAACUACGUG